UCUCAGGCUCGUAGUUCGCCUUCAAC
Molecule: non-coding RNA, 26 nt
Filed under: Homo sapiens (human)
Lineage: Eukaryota; Metazoa; Chordata; Mammalia; Primates; Hominidae
Source: RNAcentral